GCAGUGGUUUAUUGGUUUGUACAUGAAAAUGCAAACAACGCCUAAGAAGCCUGUAGUACACCGAAUGACCAAUAGGGGUCAGUGUGUAGGUGAAAAAUGCGGUGGUUCGUUGGUUUGUACAUGAAAUGCAAUAAUGUCUGAGAAGCCUGUAGUACACCGAAUGACCGGUAGGGGUCAGUGUGUAGGCAAAAAUGCAGUGGUUCGUUGGUUUGUACAUGAAAUGCGAUAAUGUCUAAGAAGUCUGUAGUACCCCCAAAGACCAGUAGGGGGUUUAAAUGAAUGAUAUGCAUGAACAUGCAAUGGUUUUAGAACAGACAGACAAAAUGCAGCCGUAAAGUGAGGACCUGACCCGUGCAUGGUGCCGUGGGACUGAUGCCUGGCGUAAUGGGUAGGUCAACUUACGGUUUGUGAGUCACUUGGACACCAUCCACAGUGAUAGAUUGAAGAAAGAAGGUGGUAGGCCGGAAAAGCCUGUGGCUGGAUUCCUGACACAGCUCAGCUUAGAAAACCUCAUGGAGUAAUCAGGUAAAAUGGCGUCUGGAUGACCCGGAAGUGGAAAUCAUUCUGAUGCUGACCUCAAGCGAUAUGAGUCAGGUAAGG
Non-coding RNA from Pelobates cultripes (western spadefoot toad), 600 nucleotides. The record is from the annotation of a GenBank genome assembly. Lineage: Eukaryota; Metazoa; Chordata; Amphibia; Anura; Pelobatidae.